This 230-nucleotide unclassified non-coding RNA is filed under the name plant metagenome. RNAcentral's name for it is "partial contains small subunit ribosomal RNA, internal transcribed spacer 1, and 5.8S ribosomal RNA". The record is from RNAcentral.
UCUCCGUUGGUGAACCAGCGGAGGGAUCAUUACUGAGUUACCGCUCUACAACCCUUUGUGAACAUACCUAACUGUUGCUUCGGCGGGCAGAGGUCCCUCGCGGAUCUCUCCCGGCAACGCCCUCACGGGCGGAGCGCCCGCCGGAGGAUACCAAACUCUAUUUUAACGACGUUUCUUCUGAGUGGCACAAGCAAAUAAUAAAACUUUUAACAACGGAUCUCUUGGUUCUG